This 253-nucleotide ribosomal RNA is filed under the name uncultured bacterium. RNAcentral describes it as "partial 16S ribosomal RNA". It matches the Rfam family "Bacterial small subunit ribosomal RNA", at positions 524 to 776 of the family's 1533-position model. The record is from RNAcentral.
UACGGAGGGUGCGAGCGUUGUCCGGAUUUAUUGGGUUUAAAGGGUGCGUAGGUGGCUGAAUAAGCCAGUGGUGAAAGCCUUCCGCUUAACGGGAGAAAUGCCAUUGGAACUGUUUAGCUUGAGUACGGUUGAAGUAGGCGGAAUUUAUGGUGUAGCGGUGAAAUGCAUAGAUACCAUAAAGAACACCGAUAGCGUAGGCAGCUUACUAAGCCGUAACUGACACUGAGGCACGAAAGCAUGGGGAGCGAACAGG